GGUUAAUUAGCUUAUUUGGUAGAGCGCUCGGGGUCUAGUCGAGAUAACAAGGUUCAAUUCCUUGAUUGACCA
RNAcentral lists this transfer RNA (72 nucleotides) under Periweissella cryptocerci. It matches the Rfam family "tRNA". Rfam says of the family: Transfer RNA (tRNA) molecules are approximately 80 nucleotides in length. Their secondary structure includes four short double-helical elements and three loops (D, anti-codon, and T loops). Further hydrogen bonds mediate the characteristic L-shaped molecular structure. tRNAs have two regions of fundamental functional importance: the anti-codon, which is responsible for specific mRNA codon recognition, and the 3' end, to which the tRNAs corresponding amino acid is attached (by aminoacyl-tRNA synthetases). tRNAs cope with the degeneracy of the genetic code in two manners: having more than one tRNA (with a specific anti-codon) for a particular amino acid; and 'wobble' base-pairing, i.e. permitting non-standard base-pairing at the 3rd anti-codon position. The record is from Rfam by way of RNAcentral. Lineage: Bacteria; Bacillati; Bacillota; Bacilli; Lactobacillales; Lactobacillaceae.